RNAcentral lists this long non-coding RNA (220 nucleotides) under Elaeis guineensis (African oil palm). Its description in RNAcentral is "long non-coding RNA (EGUI_LNC013339)". The record is from RNAcentral. Lineage: Eukaryota; Viridiplantae; Streptophyta; Magnoliopsida; Arecales; Arecaceae.
GCCCGAUUUUAAGUUUUGAUUAUUAUUUUUUUCUUCCUCUUCACUGCAUGAAAAAUAGAACAGUGUUGCCCUUUUUUUUUAUUUUGAUUCAUUUUGGUUUGAAUUGAAUCUUCAAAAUAGAUUUUAGAUGUUUGUAUGUGAUCAUGAAACACCAUGUGAGGUUCCACAAUUAGAAUCAUUUUUUUUCUUGUGUUUUGUCACUGGGCUUCAUGAGAAACAG